RNAcentral lists this long non-coding RNA (465 nucleotides) under Chloebia gouldiae (Gouldian finch). RNAcentral describes it as "Erythrura gouldiae (Gouldian finch) lncRNA (ENSEGOG00005001451.1)". The record is from RNAcentral. Lineage: Eukaryota; Metazoa; Chordata; Aves; Passeriformes; Passeridae.
AUGUCUCAUUUUUUGCCACCCCAUAAACAUACUGACAUUGGUGCUGCUUGCAGUGAAGGAGAGGCUGAGCCUGCACACCCACACCAAAAUGCUUUUGAUAUUUGGAGAUCUACAGGAGUGGGUCACUAUUCUGGCCAGCUUGCUAUUGUCUACCAUGGCUGUUGCAAGACUCAAAGAGAGAAGCAUGAAAAUCCUGUGUCUCCAUGUGGGCAUUCAGUGCGAAGCAGAGCAAGAAAUGGGGCAAGAAAUGGAGUGACAGCAGGAGGGGAUGUAUCUUCCUCCACUGCAUUGGAAUGCCGCCAGCAAGUGCAAGAAUCUGCCUUUUUUUUUUUCCCUGUUUCACAACAGAGCUGUGCUGUAAACAGCAUUUAUCACACAGGGAGUUCCACUUAGAAAUGGGUGAAUGCUAGAAAAAUACUAUUUACAAGUCCUCCCUCAAAUAAAAACCGUGAGUUUAUUUUGGCA